UGUGCUAAUUUGGGCCGAGCUGGCGCC
RNAcentral lists this non-coding RNA (27 nucleotides) under Homo sapiens (human). The record is from RNAcentral. Lineage: Eukaryota; Metazoa; Chordata; Mammalia; Primates; Hominidae.